RNAcentral lists this ribosomal RNA (448 nucleotides) under uncultured bacterium. RNAcentral describes it as "bacterial SSU rRNA". It matches the Rfam family "Bacterial small subunit ribosomal RNA", at positions 355 to 825 of the family's 1533-position model. The record is from RNAcentral.
UGGGGAAUCUUGGACAAUGGGCGCAAGCCUGAUCCAGCCAUGCCGCGUGAGUGAUGAAGGCCUUAGGGUUGUAAAGCUCUUUUUGCCGGGGACGAUAAUGACGGUACCCGGAGAAUAAGUCCCGGCUAACUUCGUGCCAGCAGCCGCGGUAAUACGAAGGGGACUAGCGUUGUUCGGAAUCACUGGGCGUAAAGCGCACGUAGGCGGAUUUGUAAGUCAGGGGUGAAAUCCCGGGGCUCAACCUCGGAACUGCCUUUGAUACUGCAAAUCUCGAGUCCGAUAGAGGUGAGUGGAAUUCCUAGUGUAGAGGUGAAAUUCGUAGAUAUUAGGAAGAACACCAGUGGCGAAGGCGGCUCACUGGAUCGGUACUGACGCUGAGGUGCGAAAGCGUGGGGAGCAAACAGGAUUAGAUACCCCCGUAGUCCCUGAGCGGGCUGGCAAGGCGCAU